RNAcentral lists this ribosomal RNA (439 nucleotides) under uncultured bacterium. Its description in RNAcentral is "bacterial SSU rRNA". It matches the Rfam family "Bacterial small subunit ribosomal RNA", at positions 8 to 456 of the family's 1533-position model. The record is from RNAcentral.
AGAGUUUGAUCCUGGCUCAGGACGAACGCUGGCGGCGUGCUUAACACAUGCAAGUCACGGGGGUCCGCAAGGACAACCGGCGAACGGGUGCGUAACACGUGAGCAACCUACCGAUUUGUGGGGGAUAGCCGGCCCAACGGCCGGGUAAUACCGCAUACGCUUGCUCGGUCUCCUGACUGGGCAAGGAAACCUCCGGGGCACAAAUCGAGGGGCUCGCGGCCUAUCAGCUAGUUGGCGAGGUCACGGCUCACCAAGGCGACGACGGGUAGCUGGUCUGAGAGGAUGGCCAGCCACAUUGGGACUGAGAAACGGCCCAGACUCCUACGGGAGGCAGCAGUGGGGAAUCUUGCGCAAUGGACGAAAGUCUGACGCAGCGACGCCGCGUGGGGGAUGACGGGUUUCGGCUUGUAAACCCCUGUUGCCCGGGACGAACGACCUC